ACAUGCCUAAAUCAUAGCGCUAAUGCACCAGAUCCCAUUAGAACUCCGUAGUUAAGCGCGCUCAAUCUAGAGUAGUAUUGGGAUGGUUGACUGCUCGAGAAGUCCUAGUGUUUUACAUGCC
This is a non-coding RNA of Picea glauca (white spruce), 121 nucleotides long. NCBI's taxonomy places the organism in Eukaryota, Viridiplantae, Streptophyta, Pinopsida, Pinales, Pinaceae. The record is from Rfam.